GUAGAACAAUUUGAAAUAUAUUUACAUUUCCAAGCCCUUAGAGAUUAGUCAGUUGGUAAAACUAUACUCUUCAGAAAUUUAAAACCAAAAACGUUUUUUGAGCACUUAUAAUUUAUUUUGACGAACGCUGUAUGGAUCCCCGCUGCUGAAUGGAUAUUUGUAGGCAUUAUUGCUUUCAACUGCGUUUUUAGGUUUUUGGUUUAAUUAUUUCUAUAAGGCCUGUUUCAAACGUGGCAUUUUACAUGAGUCAAAAAUUCCUCAUUAUCUUUUGUUUUAAAUACAUUCAACACAUCUAAAAAGCAACGCUUAAAAUGGGCCUAAAUCAUGUAAAUUCCAGACGUCGACUGAUUUCAAAGAUUAGCAAUUUUUGGAGACAGGGUGUCUCGCAUAUUAUAUACGAUUUUUAGAACAAUGACAACGAGUUUGAUAAAAAAUAGCUUCAGUAACAUCCCGUCCAAUUUAAAUUCAACAAAGUCACCAGCAGUAUGGUUUUGAACUUUGCAAUCAGCGAUAAAAUCGAGAAACAGAUAAAUUAUUAAAGAACAAUGGUUGUUUGCGUGAUAUUCUAUUUCUUGUAUAUCAAUAACUGUCAUUUUUUUUCAAAUUUUAAUUCCAGAUCAUUGUCAUAUUGUCGGGAUAUUGAUGUUCUCUGCGAACAAAAAUUGUCACUGCUAAACAUUUGCACGAAUAAUGUAUUAGUUCAGAUCAACACAAUGACUACAAUGGUUAUUUGUGUGAUAUGUAUACGCAUUUGCAAUCUAAAUUGGAUUGCAAAGCAACACUUGCGUAACGCCUUGGUCUUGUGGUCUGAUAUUUCGCUUUUCUUGGAACGCAACUCUAAUGGUGAUGGAAGCAAUAAUUAAAUCAGCUUUGUAUAUAGUUGUAGAUGUCGGGGAACGCCAAAAUGGUAUGCAUUUUAUGGAUGUAUUUAAUUAUGAAUUAAAGAUAGUAUACAAUAAAUUGGCAAAUGAA
Molecule: long non-coding RNA, 972 nt
Organism: Xenia sp. Carnegie-2017
Lineage: Eukaryota; Metazoa; Cnidaria; Anthozoa; Malacalcyonacea; Xeniidae
Exons: 2
Source: RefSeq, a predicted model, not a curated record